Molecule: small nuclear RNA, 162 nt
Organism: Portunus trituberculatus (swimming crab)
Lineage: Eukaryota; Metazoa; Arthropoda; Malacostraca; Decapoda; Portunidae
Product: U1 spliceosomal RNA
Exons: 1
Source: RefSeq, a predicted model, not a curated record
ACACACACCCUGGCACAGGAGACAGUGAUCAUGAAGGCAGUUUUCCCAGGACGAUGCCCACCAUUGCACUCCGGCGGUGCUGACUCCUGCCAUUAAUCCAAAUAUGGUUAACUAGAGAACGAAAAUUUUGAUAACCUGGUGGGGUAGUGAUAACAUGCCCGU